GAUGAAGAACGCAGCGAAAUGCGAUAAGUAGUGUGAAUUGCAGAAUUCAGUGAAUCAUCGAAUCUUUGAACGCACAUUGCGCCCCUUGGUAUUCCAUGGGGCAUGCCUGUUCGAGCGUCAUUUGUACCUUCAAGCUCUGCUUAGUGUUGCGUGUUUGUCUCGCCUCUGCGUGUAGACUCGCCUCAAAACAAUUGGCAGCCGGCGUAUUGAUUUCGGAGCGCAGUACAUCUCGCGCUUUGCACUCAUAACGACGACGUCCAAAAGUACAUUUUUACACUCUUGACCUCGGAUCAGGUAGGGAUACCCGCUGAACUUAAGCAUAUCAAUAAGCGGAGGA
Molecule: unclassified non-coding RNA, 337 nt
Filed under: soil metagenome
Description: partial contains 5.8S ribosomal RNA, internal transcribed spacer 2, and large subunit ribosomal RNA
Rfam family: 5.8S ribosomal RNA (bases 1-120)
Source: RNAcentral